CAAGUGUAGGGAAGGAAACUGGACGACCCUUCGGGGAGCUUGUACAGGUGCUGCAUGGCUGUCGUCAGCUCGUGUCGUGAGAUGUUCGGUUAAGUCCGCUAACGAGCGCAACCCUCGCUGUGUGUUACAAGUGUCACACGGAACUGCCGGUCAUAAACCGGAGGAAGGUGGGGAUGACGUCAAGUCAGCAUGGCCUUUAUAUCCUGGGCUACACACACGCUACAAUGGGAAGGGACAAUAGGUUGCGAAGCCGCGAGGCGGAGCCAAUCCAGCAAAACUUCCCUCAGUUCAGAUUGCAGGCUGCAACCCGCCUGCAUGAAGUUGGAGUUGCUAGUAAACGCAGGUCAGCCAUACUGCGUUGAAUACGUUCCCGGGCUU
Molecule: ribosomal RNA, 378 nt
Filed under: uncultured Anaerolineaceae bacterium
Lineage: Bacteria; Bacillati; Chloroflexota; Anaerolineae; Anaerolineales; Anaerolineaceae
Description: bacterial SSU rRNA
Rfam family: Bacterial small subunit ribosomal RNA
Source: RNAcentral